This 53-nucleotide small RNA is filed under the name Desulfuribacillus stibiiarsenatis. Its description in RNAcentral is "Streptococcus sRNA SpF59 (ldcC RNA)". It matches the Rfam family "Streptococcus sRNA SpF59 (ldcC RNA)". Lineage: Bacteria; Bacillati; Bacillota; Desulfuribacillia; Desulfuribacillales; Desulfuribacillaceae. The record is from Rfam by way of RNAcentral.
UGACCACUUCUUCAUGAGGUUAAGGCCAUACGGACAGCCGGGUCAAAUGCCGA